Molecule: ribosomal RNA, 428 nt
Filed under: uncultured bacterium
Lineage: Bacteria
Description: bacterial SSU rRNA
Rfam family: Bacterial small subunit ribosomal RNA
Source: RNAcentral
UGGGGAAUAUUGCGCAAUGGGCGAAAGCCUGACGCAGCGACGCCGCGUGGGUGAUGAAGGCCUUCGGGUCGUAAAGCCCUGUCGGGAGGGACGAAACCUCGGUGACCUAAUACGUCACCGACCUGACGGUACCUCUUAAGGAAGCACCGGCUAACUCCGUGCCAGCAGCCGCGGUAAUACGGAGGGUGCGAGCGUUAUCCGGAUUUACUGGGUUUAAAGGGUGCGUAGGUGGGCUUAUAAGUCAGUGGUGAAAUCUCCGAGCUUAACUUGGAAACUGCCGUUGAUACUAUAGGGGUUGAAUUAUCUGGGGGUAAGCGGAAUAUGUCAUGUAGCGGUGAAAAGCUUAGAUAUGACAUAGAACACCAAUUGCGAAGGCAGCUUACUGCAUAUAAAUUGACGCUGAGGCACGAAAGCGUGGGGAUCAAACA